AGCAGUAGCCGCGGGAAUACGUAGGGUGCGAGCGUUAAUCGGAAUUACUGGGCGUAAAGCGUGCGCAGGCGGUUUUGUAAGACAGGCGUGAAAUCCCCGGGCUCAACCUGGGAAUGGCGCUUGUGACUGUAAAGCUAGAGUGCGGCAGAGGGGGAUGGAAUUCCGCGUGUAGCAGUGAAAUGCGUAGAUAUGCGGAGGAACACCGAUGGCGAAGGCAAUCCCCUGGGCCUGCACUGACGCUCAUGCACGAAAGCGUGGGGAGCAAACAGGAUUAGAGACCCCAGUAGUCCCUGUCUCUUAUAC
This 303-nucleotide ribosomal RNA is filed under the name uncultured bacterium. RNAcentral describes it as "partial 16S ribosomal RNA". It matches the Rfam family "Bacterial small subunit ribosomal RNA", at positions 507 to 807 of the family's 1533-position model. The record is from RNAcentral.